RNAcentral lists this small RNA (335 nucleotides) under Pongo abelii (Sumatran orangutan). Its description in RNAcentral is "retained intron". The record is from RNAcentral. Lineage: Eukaryota; Metazoa; Chordata; Mammalia; Primates; Hominidae.
AAGGGGAAGUCUGGAAAACAACGCCUUACCAAGUGGCUGCUGAAAUUAGUCAGGAACUGGCUGAAAGCACAGUAAUAGCCAAAGUCAAUGGUGAACUGUGGGACCUGGACCGCCCAUUGGAAGGGGACUCUUCUCUAGAGCUGCUUACAUUUGAUAAUGAGGAAGCUCAAGCUGUGAGUAUUUAAAAACCAGACAGCCAAACUUUGGGUGGUUAUGUUGUAAACUAAAUUAUAUAAAAGGCCACAUAUUGAAGUCACGAAUGUUGAGUUUUUUGGGGGUUUCUAAGAUUUAAAAUUUGAAUAUUGAUGUUUAAUAAAUAUUUGUGGCAUGAAUGU